Tachysurus vachellii is the source of this 2295-nucleotide long non-coding RNA. RefSeq lists it as uncharacterized. The record is from RefSeq and is a predicted model, not a curated record. The transcript is spliced from 2 exons. NCBI's taxonomy places the organism in Eukaryota, Metazoa, Chordata, Actinopteri, Siluriformes, Bagridae.
CAAACACUCACACACACAGCUCUAGAACACCAUGUUCCUGGCUUGGAGUCAAAAAUGUGUUCAGUCCUUAGUGAGUGAAGCUGAAUGGAGCUGUGUACAGAGUUUAUACUCUAUCAAAAAUCUCUGCUGGAAUUAUUAUUAUUUAUUUUUUUUAAACUCAUAGUGAGAAAGUCUUUCCGUCGCUCCGACAUGUGCAGGAACAGGAAGGACCGACAGCUGUACCGGGAACACAAGCUAGCCUUAGGUCAACUGUCUGACCAGCAAGUGCGAGAUUUCAUAAAGGAGCACAGGGCCACCAGGAAAGCGGCAAAAAAACCCCCAAAUUAUUCACAUAGGCGAACGGGUCAUAUUUUAAUCAUUACCCCAGAAACUGACUACAGAACCACCUCUGGGAGUCGUCUAAUCAAGUCAAGCCUUCUAAAGCGGAUAAAAGGGAAUUUUAACCACAAAUACUCCUGAUCUUAGCGGGCCAUGAAACAACAAUAACACAACAACAAGGCAAAAGUCUGGUGUAAACGUCUGAAGAUCGCAAGUGUGUCGGCCAUCUGUAGCCCAUGAGAGGGUAGGAGGGACGUCCACACUCAGCCUUGUCAAUCAGAGCUGCACUAACCAAUCGUGAGCAUGUGUGAGCUCGCGUAUGCAGAAGAGGGUCGAUGACGCUUUCCUCCGUACUGUGACACAGCAUGAGCAUCAGGUCAAAAACAUAGAGGCUGAAUAAAUAACAGACGGAAAUAAACAAGCUGUAAUACGUUUUCUAUGGGCUACAAAAAAAAAAAAAAAAAAAAAAAGAUUUUCCUUUCGGUUCACUUUCCUACAAGGUAAAAAAUAUAUAUAUACAUCCUGCGUUAUUGCCAUGAAUAAUGACAGAUGCACGUCACAGGAGAACGACAUCACUGGAAGGAAGAAUCCCCAAAAUAGCUCAGGUCCUGUAUCUACUUACUGCUUAGUUUUGCUAUGAAAUAACAAACAGACUUUUUCUGAAUCUUGACAUUAACAAGACAAAAACUUUGCAGCUUGUUACAGGUUACAGAAGAAAGAAAAAGAAAAAAAAUAACCUGUAACCUCCUGUACGCAUACUGACACUGGAGACUCCUUGAGAGAUGAAAUAAACAAACAUAACAUUUCAGUAGAGUGAAGAAUAAAGCAUUAACUGCAAGUGGGCACCAGGAGUGAGAACCAACCAACCUUUCAAAAUAAGAGUGGAUUGCAUUCCUGACUCCGGAUCCGGAUCCACUGUGAGCCAGACCGGGAAGGGCAGAAGAAUGAAUAUUAUUCUGAUUGGCUAAAAAAAAAUAAAUUUUAUUAAAGUAAAUUUUUAGUAUUAUCAUUAAUAUUGUUUUUUUUUAUUUAUAUAUAUGAUUUUUAAUUAUUUAAAAAUUAAAUAUACCAAAAUUUCCAAUGCUUUGAAGAUUAGUCCAUGUACAAUGUUUAUGGUUCGUCUUUUUAUAUCUAAGUAAAUGCUCAUAUUCUACCCGUUUUUUCGUCAGCGAGCUGAAAUAAAUUAUUCAUAACUGAAAAAAAAAGCAGAAAAGCAGAUACACUAAAAAUAAAUUUUAAAAUACUAAAAUAAUGUAAAUAAAUUAACGGUGUGUCAAGCUGCGUAUCGAGCUGUGUAAACGGAAUUGUGUUUUUACGUGCCGUUUCAUUUCAGGGUGUUUUCUCUCUCUUUCUAGCUCUCAGGUAAACCUCAGAAACGACCGACAUCCUGAUCUGGAUGAAGUACUUUCCUGUGAUAGAUGAAUAGAUGAAUGAAUGAAUGAAUGAAUGAAUGAAUGAAUGAAUGUUUAUAAAGGGACCACACCGCCCCCUAGUGUCUGUCUGAGCUUUCAGCUGCAUGUUGUGCAACAGCUCAUUUUAUCAGACAUUCUGUGAUUUUCCAAUUAAGUCGAAUCCGAGAUUCAGACGAACAUCAGAUGCUUUCCUUGUGCAGAUCCUCACUGUUUUUACAGGUUCUUAUACAGAUCAGUGAAAUUGAGCUUUCACUCCUCUCUCACUAUCUAGUGAUGGAUCGGUGGUUAAAGGCUCCGGGUUACUGAAGAUUUGCUCCAGGGGCGGCGUAUCCCGGCUGACCCCAUGACCUUUGACCGCAGUUACAUAACAAGCUGGGACGUGCGAAAGAAAAUGGAAGGUCACUGUGCUGUAAUACGGACAAAAGCGCUUUCCUUCUUACUCGCAGGCAAACAUAUUGUAAACACGUGAUUAAAGACGUGAAAGACACUGUAUGAGACACACAUUAUAUAUAUGCUGCAAUUUCUGUUUCAAUUAAAUGAUAUUUCAGUAAAGUGUUUUGUGGCA